CCUACGGGAGGCAGCAGUGAGGAAUAUUGGUCAAUGGACGAAAGCCUGAACCAGCCAAGUAGCGUGCAGGAUGACGGCCCUAUGGGUUGUAAACUGCUUUUAUACGGGAAUAACGCGCCUUACGUGUAGGGCUUUGUAUGUACCGUAUGAAUAAGGACCGGCUAAUUCCGUGCCAGCAGCCGCGGUAAUACGGAAGAUCCGAGCGUUAUCCGGAUUUAUUGGGUUUAAAGGGAGCGUAGGCGGAAUGUCAAGCGUGUUGUGAAAUGUCCGGGCUCAACCCGGGCCUUGCAGCGCGAACUGGCGUGCUUGAGUCCGCGGAAGGCAGGCGGAAUUCGUGGUGUAGCGGUGAAAUGCUUAGAUAUGACGAAGAACUCCGAUUGCGAAGGCAGCUUGCUGCAGCGGAACUGACGCUGAUGCUCGAAAGCGUGGGUAUCGAACAGGAUUAGAUACCCUUGUAGUC
This 460-nucleotide ribosomal RNA is filed under the name uncultured bacterium. RNAcentral's name for it is "partial 16S ribosomal RNA". It matches the Rfam family "Bacterial small subunit ribosomal RNA", at positions 338 to 795 of the family's 1533-position model. The record is from RNAcentral.